RNAcentral lists this ribosomal RNA (296 nucleotides) under Bacteroides fragilis. RNAcentral's name for it is "partial 16S ribosomal RNA". It matches the Rfam family "Bacterial small subunit ribosomal RNA", at positions 937 to 1233 of the family's 1533-position model. The record is from RNAcentral. Lineage: Bacteria; Pseudomonadati; Bacteroidota; Bacteroidia; Bacteroidales; Bacteroidaceae.
ACAUGUGGUUUAAUUCGAUGAUACGCGAGGAACCUUACCCGGGCUUAAAUUGCAGUGGAAUGAUGUGGAAACAUGUCAGUGAGCAAUCACCACUGUGAAGGUGCUGCAUGGUUGUCGUCAGCUCGUGCCGUGAGGUGUCGGCUUAAGUGCCAUAACGAGCGCAACCCUUAUCUUUAGUUACUAACAGGUUAUGCUGAGGACUCUAGAGAGACUGCCGUCGUAAGAUGUGAGGAAGGUGGGGAUGACGUCAAAUCAGCACGGCCCUUACGUCCGGGGCUACACACGUGUUACAAUGG